Long non-coding RNA from Neopsephotus bourkii (Bourke's parrot), 558 nucleotides. RefSeq lists it as uncharacterized. The record is from RefSeq and is a predicted model, not a curated record. The transcript has 2 exons. NCBI's taxonomy places the organism in Eukaryota, Metazoa, Chordata, Aves, Psittaciformes, Psittacidae.
GCAUCUAUUCUUUUUUAGCAGUUGCACAAGUGUCUGUUUCUUUUGUUGCAGUCGAAACCUGAAUCUCCUCUUCUGACUGAGGACUUGCUGCAAUGGUGAUCUUCAGCUGCUUGCAAGCUAUGGACAAAAUCUUUCUUGGUCAUGGGGAUUGCAGUCUGCUCCUUCUGUUAGAAGAAUGGGAAAGGAAACAUGGACAGGGAGCAAGAUUGUCUCUCUAGCAAUGUUAAUACUGUCCAUGAUUUUGGAUAAUGUCUAUAAAAGAUAACCCAAGGAAGAUAGGAAGGACUGAAAGGAAAAAAUGUACUGAAGUCUCUUCUCACUUCAGCCUACUUACUGAAAAUCUGACUGUUAGCUCUACCUAUUCUCCUGUCUUUUGAUUUUUAAGUAUUUGAACUCUAAUAAACAAUAUGAUACAGUUUUUAUACAGAACCUGUUAUAUAUGAUGUCAUGCCUCUAAUAUUCAAAAGAAGUAACAAUUUCUGUAGCAUUUCAUAGUAAAAUGUAAGGUAGUCCAUGUGAAGAGUAAACUGAAAAAAUAAUUAAAAAAAUUAUGAUUCA